GACGAACGCUGGCGGCGUGCUUAACACAUGCAAGUCGAACGGAAAGGCCCUGCUUUUGUGGGGUGCUCGAGUGGCGAACGGGUGAGUAACACGUGAGUAACCUGCCCUUGACUUUGGGAUAACUUCAGGAAACUGGGGCUAAUACCGGAUAGGAGCUCCUGCUGCAUGGUGGGGGUUGGAAAGUUUCGGCGGUUGGGGAUGGACUCGCGGCUUAUCAGCUUGUUGGUGGGGUAGUGGCUUACCAAGGCUUUGACGGGUAGCCGGCCUGAGAGGGUGACCGGCCACAUUGGGACUGAGAUACGGCCCAGACUCCUACGGGAAGCAGCAGUGGGGAAUAUUGCACAAUGGGCGGAAGCCUGAUGCAGCAACGCCGCGUGCGGGAUGAAGGCCUUCGGGUUGUAAACCGCUUUCGCCUGUGACGAAGCGUGAGUGACGGUAAUGGGUAAAGAAGCACCGGCUAACUACGUG
RNAcentral lists this ribosomal RNA (468 nucleotides) under uncultured bacterium. Its description in RNAcentral is "partial 16S ribosomal RNA". It matches the Rfam family "Bacterial small subunit ribosomal RNA", at positions 28 to 507 of the family's 1533-position model. The record is from RNAcentral.